UUUUUUUUUUUUCCCUUGGAAUCUCUCUCUCUCAAACGAACUUCUUUCUUUCCUUCUGUUUCUUCCCUGAAACACUUCCUAGUCCUUGCUCUUGUUUUCUUUUCUCUGCUUCCAUUCUUGUUUUGCCCUAUUCUUCCUUCUCCUCUAUUCUUUUAAUUUUUUAGUUCUCCUCCUCUUCUUUUCUUGGUUAUAAAUAGUCUGAAGGUCGAUCCAUCAAGAUUCACCUUUGUUUUACUCUCAUUAUCAUUAGUAAUCAAGAAUAUUUUUCAAUCAUUUUUUCAAACACCAUUUUUGCAUCAAUAUUAUCUUUCUUGAUUCUUGAUUCUUGAUUUCUUAUUGCACAAAACUCCUGCCCAUUUUUUUAUGUUAUUUUUUAUAUGGCUUGAAUUUUAGAUAUAUCUUCAUUGAUCUG
Molecule: unclassified non-coding RNA, 412 nt
Filed under: Hevea brasiliensis (rubber tree)
Lineage: Eukaryota; Viridiplantae; Streptophyta; Magnoliopsida; Malpighiales; Euphorbiaceae
Source: RNAcentral